Molecule: long non-coding RNA, 1245 nt
Filed under: Equus asinus (donkey)
Lineage: Eukaryota; Metazoa; Chordata; Mammalia; Perissodactyla; Equidae
Description: lncRNA (ENSEASG00005028913.1)
Source: RNAcentral
AUUAUUUCAGUUACUCAUAUGGUUUUAUUUAUGUAAGUGUGUGCUGGACCAUGAUACACACUGUCCUUCUUGCUAUGGGAUGCUCUGAAAGCCACUGCUCUUAAACCACAGUAAACUGAGCAACAGAAGGGUCCAUGUGCCAGAUGGAGAGGCCCACACAAGAUCACCCACCGUUUCUGCCCUGCACACGCACAGCGAUGACUCUUCAAGGCCAGGCUGGAAUCCCUCUCUGACAGCCUCCCACUUUGUUGCCUUGUCUUUUCAGAUUGACAGCCAGGCAGCAUCUGUGUUAAAAAGAACUUCCCCCAUUUCUUAGAACUGCGUGCGAGGCUGAGAAUUCUGGAGGUGGCUUCCAAGAUAUUUACAGCUCUGCCAUCAGUUUAGAAGUUGUUGUUCCAUCUUUCAAAUCUUUCUUCUGCCUGCUCAACCUAGAGCAACCCUCUUCAGCAAGAAUGUGGGGAUCUUGUGGCCUCUGCCUGUUCCGUCGUUCCCAGUCUAGCAGAGCAAUGUCAGCAUGAACCUGUAGACACGAGUGAGUCUCGUUCUGUAAUCUCCAGAAAAGAUUUAAAGAAAUCUUUUCUCUUAAGCCAUCGACAGUUUGGUAGGACACACCUUUGUGAAGAAAAAUGAAACAUUUAUCUUUUCUCUGUACCUGAUCCCUCCAGAAUUUGGAAACACUCAGAGAAACUCAACUACAAUCUCAUAGAUCUAGGCGAGACUUGGAGACCACAUUUUACACCCCAUCUACUCUCCACUGAUUACCAUUGCCAAAGGCUUUGUCCCUUGGAUUCAUGUUGUCCAUGUGACCUGUUGAUAAAAAGUUUAUCCCUAACCAUAGCUACACUGGCAAAUUCUACCGCUCGAACCUUAGCUCAACAACAACGAUUCCUGAUCCCCUAGUCAGGGUCAUAUUAGAUAAUCGCAUGGCACUCACUUAUUUCCUUGCAGAACAGGGUGGCAUCCAUGUUGUAACCAACAACCUCUGCUGUACCUGCAUCAACUCUGCUGGUGACAUUGAGAAAUAACUUGGAAAAAUUAUUAAAAUAUCACAGGAUGUCUCCAGUCCAAUGUCUUUCAAUGACACUCUCUGGUUCCCUAUCGAUGUUUUCAGCUGGCUUCCUUCAGGUAUAGGUGCUUGGAUGAGAGGAGGACUUCAAACACUGCUUAUGAUUAUUAGAAUUGUGCUAUGUGUAUUUGUAUUUAAGCUUCUUAUGCUACUACUCACUCAGAUCUGCUCCAAGUUAC